CUUCACGGAGCCCAGCAGCAGCGGCCGGUCUUCCGGUCGUUCCUGGCCGUACGUGGCCAGGAGUGCCUGCGCCUC
This 75-nucleotide antisense RNA is filed under the name Streptomyces griseoflavus. RNAcentral describes it as "ASpks sRNA". It matches the Rfam family "ASpks TB sRNA". Lineage: Bacteria; Bacillati; Actinomycetota; Actinomycetes; Kitasatosporales; Streptomycetaceae. The record is from RNAcentral.